RNAcentral lists this long non-coding RNA (784 nucleotides) under Durio zibethinus. RNAcentral's name for it is "long non-coding RNA (DZIB_LNC001393)". Lineage: Eukaryota; Viridiplantae; Streptophyta; Magnoliopsida; Malvales; Malvaceae. The record is from RNAcentral.
UCAUAGUAAAAGGGUUUCACCUAUAAAUAGAGGGUGCCUAUACCUUCAUUGUACAUAUCAUAACUUGGAGUAAUACAAGUUUGCUCUUGCCUAUCUCUGUUGUUUCUCUUUAGCUUUCCAUCAAACACUUAAUGUGUAGCCUUGUUUAGCAGUAAUGCAAGUGGCUGGCUCUGGAGUAUUGAGUUGAGUGCCCAAGUACCAAUCUAAGUGUUAGGUUGAUCUAAGAUGUUGGAUGAAUCCAUUCUCAAGUCCUAGAGUCGCACGAGCCUAAAACUUGAGUCUUAGCCGGUGACAAAUGAUAUUUAAGCAAGUUCAGAGCUGAUUCAGAAUUGGUAGUAAAAGUUGGUCCAAAGCAAGUGAUUAGUGUUGGAUGCUGCUAGAACCAAAGUUAGCCUCGAAGAAGGUUCGGACAUGUUGGUGCGGGCUAAUGAAAUGCCUCAUGAUGCACAAGGUGCGGGCAUGUAAAAUUGCAAAACAGGUGCUCGACUGAUUGUUGCUGUGUUGUUGUGGACGUGUUGGGUGCACUAUGUAAGUGUGCAAAAUAGUGCCAGACCAAAAGUGUGGGCCAUGUUGAGCCAGUGUGCAGAUGGUUACCUAACAUGUAGAUUGGUGAAAAUGUGAGUUCUAUUGUAUUAUUUUUCUGUGUUUUUGAGUUUUAUGAUAAUUUUUAUUUUGGGUUUUUUGUAAAAGCUUUCGAUUGUAUUAUUUUGAAUGUAAAGGAUAAUGUUUUCUUCAUGGGCUUUUGAUAAUUAUGAGCUAAUGGAUUGAAGUGAAUUCCAGGAUG